AAUCUUCCACAAUGGGCGCAAGCCUGAUGGAGCAACACCGCGUGAGUGAAGAAGGGUNNNGGCUCNUCAAGCUCUGUUGUUGGNGACNAACGUGCGUGAGAGCAACUGUUCACGCAGUGACGGUAUCCAACCAGUAAGUCACGGCUAACUACGUCCCAGCAGCCGCGGUAAUACGUAGGUGGCAAGCGUUAUCCGGAUUUAUUGGGCGUAAAGCGAGCGCAGGCGGUUGCUUAGGUCUGAUGUGAAAGCCUUCGGCUUAACCGAAGAAGUGCAUCGGAAACCGGGCGAAUUGAGUGCAGAAGAGGACAGUGGAACUCCAUGUGUAGCGGUGGAAUGCGUAGAUAUAUGGAAGAACACCAGUGGCGAAGGCGGCUGUCUGGUCUGCAACUGACGCUGAGGCUCGAAAGCAUGGGUAGCGAACAG
This 423-nucleotide ribosomal RNA is filed under the name uncultured bacterium. RNAcentral describes it as "partial 16S ribosomal RNA". It matches the Rfam family "Bacterial small subunit ribosomal RNA", at positions 360 to 775 of the family's 1533-position model. The record is from RNAcentral.